UGACAACAUGGACUUGACACU
RNAcentral lists this non-coding RNA (21 nucleotides) under Caenorhabditis elegans. The record is from RNAcentral. Lineage: Eukaryota; Metazoa; Nematoda; Chromadorea; Rhabditida; Rhabditidae.